GUUGAGUGUGCGACACACGUUUCAACAUGAAGCACAAUCAAGCUUCUAUGCAUAUAGAAAUUCUCUUGCCAUGUUUGUGCACUUAUGUCCCUUGUGUGAACCAGGAUUUACAUUCUUUUUAAACAAUCAAGUUUAUGACAAAAGGGAUUGUUUAUUUCGCAAAUAAACCAGAUUGGUCAACUUGCAUUGAAUUCGGGUUAAUAAUAUAUUUCAAGCUCGCUGGUUUUGAACGCAAAUGGCAGAUUGUCCGUGCACCCUUCGGAGAAAGUUUGUAAGAACUUUGAAAAGGAAGCCAGCUUUGAAAGAGACCAAUAGCGAACCUAUGAAAGUGUAUUUGCGAGUUCGACCAUUGUCUGAGUUAGAGUUGAUAGCGGGUGAGUCACAAGAAUGCUUCCAAUCGGAGAAUGAUUCGUCCAUUGUCGUUCAACCACCGAAAGAUUCUGCUUCUUUCAAGAAUCAUGUCCGUACUACUGGAAUGCAGGUCAGUUAUCGCUUUGAUUUCUCGCAUGUGUUUGGGCCUGAAACCAACCAGGAGAAUUUGUUUAAAGAUACAACGCUCGAUGUUGUGAAAGAUUUUGUAAGAGGACAGAACUGUUUAACUUUCAGCUAUGGAGUGACCAAUGCUGGAAAG
Non-coding RNA from Paramuricea clavata, 631 nucleotides. NCBI's taxonomy places the organism in Eukaryota, Metazoa, Cnidaria, Anthozoa, Malacalcyonacea, Plexauridae. The record is from the annotation of a GenBank genome assembly.